AUACGGAGGGUGCAAGCGUUAAUCGGAAUUACUGGGCGUAAAGGGUGCGUAGGUGGUUAUGUAAGUUAUCUGUGAAAUCCCCGGGCUCAACCUGGGCAGGUCAGAUAAGACUGUGUAACUCGAGUAUAGGAGAGGGUAGUGGAAUUUCCGGUGUAGCGGUGAAAUGCGUAGAGAUCGGAAGGAACACCAGUGGCGAAGGCGGCUACCUGGCCUAAUACUGACACUGAGGCACGAAAGCGUGGGGAGC
This 247-nucleotide ribosomal RNA is filed under the name uncultured bacterium. RNAcentral's name for it is "partial 16S ribosomal RNA". It matches the Rfam family "Bacterial small subunit ribosomal RNA", at positions 523 to 769 of the family's 1533-position model. The record is from RNAcentral.